Non-coding RNA from Capra hircus (goat), 444 nucleotides. The record is from the annotation of a RefSeq genome assembly. NCBI's taxonomy places the organism in Eukaryota, Metazoa, Chordata, Mammalia, Artiodactyla, Bovidae.
AGUUCUUUCUGUUUUGUCGAAACAAGCCUAGAAGCAGAUGCAAGUCUGAGCUCUGAGCCCAUGACCCUGGUUUGUCCUUGAAGUAUGAGGCUGGUGACUGUAGUGACCGUGUUUCUGACCUUGGGGAAUGUGAUUGAUGCUAAGACCACCCAGCCAGACUCCAUGGAUUGUGCUGAAGGAGAAAAUGUAUACCUGCCUUGUAACCACUCUACCAUUGGUGGAGAUGAAUAUGUACAUUGGUAUCAGCAAAAUCCCAAUCAGAGUCCACAGUAUGUCAUUCACGGCUUACAAGGCACAGUGAACAGCAGCAUGGCCUCUCUGCACAUAGCUCCAGACAGGAAGUCCAGCACCCUGGUCCUGCCCCAGGUCACCCUGAGAGACGCCGCUGUGUACUACUGCGUCCUGAGAGUACAAAACUUCAGUCACCAACUUCUGUGGGGUUGA